RNAcentral lists this ribosomal RNA (262 nucleotides) under uncultured bacterium. RNAcentral's name for it is "partial 16S ribosomal RNA". It matches the Rfam family "Bacterial small subunit ribosomal RNA", at positions 793 to 1055 of the family's 1533-position model. The record is from RNAcentral.
GUCCACGCCGUAAACGAUGAACGCUAGCCGUUGGAUAGCUUGCUAUUCAGUGGCGCAGCUAACGCAUUAAGCGUUCCGCCUGGGGAGUACGGCCGCAAGGUUGAAACUCAAAGGAAUUGACGGGGGCCCGCACAAGCGGUGGAGCAUGUGGUUUAAUUCGACGCAACGCGCAGAACCUUACCAGGGUUUGCCAUCCUGCGACCGCUCUCUAACAGGAGUUUUCCCGCAAGGGACGCAGAGACAGGUGCUGCAUGGCUGUCGU